AUGCUUUCUGCCACCUGCUCUGUUCUUGUGAUCUUAGUAUUCAGAGGGACCAAUGGAGACUCAGUGAACCAGACAGAAGGCCCAGUCACUCUCUCAGAGGGGGCGCCUGUGAUCGUGAACUGCACUUACCAGGCCACUUAUUCCACUCCUUUCCUUUUCUGGUAUGUCCAGUACCUCAAUAAAGCUCCUCAACUCCUCCUGAAGAGCUCAACAGAAAACCAGAGGACAGAGCCUCAAGGCUUUCAGGCCAAUCAUGUUAAGAGUGACAGCUCCUUCCACCUGCGGAAACCCUCAGUGCAGAUGUCAGACUCCGCCAUGUACUACUGCGCUGUGAGAGACACAGUGAGGGGGACUGAAGGGGGAGCUGAGCACAAACCCAGAGGGUGCAGGUGGGGCUGA
Equus quagga is the source of this 399-nucleotide non-coding RNA. The record is from the annotation of a RefSeq genome assembly. NCBI's taxonomy places the organism in Eukaryota, Metazoa, Chordata, Mammalia, Perissodactyla, Equidae.